AACCUACUCCCUUCGUCGAAAAAGCUUGUCCCAAGCUUGUCUUUCGAAUAGAUGUACCUAGCACUAAUUUGGUGCUAGAUACAUCUAUUUGAAGGACAAGCUUUUUCGGACGGAGGGAGUACUAC
Triticum aestivum (bread wheat) is the source of this 125-nucleotide non-coding RNA. The record is from Rfam. NCBI's taxonomy places the organism in Eukaryota, Viridiplantae, Streptophyta, Magnoliopsida, Poales, Poaceae.